CCCUUAGAUGUUCUGGGCUGCACGCGCGCUACACUGACGCACACAACGAGUCUCCUAGCUCGAGAGGGCUGGGUAAUCAUUUGAGAGUGCGUCGUGAUGGGGAUAGAAUAUUGUAAUUAUUACUCUUCAACGAGGAAUUCCUAGUAAGCGCGAGUCAGCAGCUCGCGUUGAUUACGUCCCUGCCCUUUGUACACACCGCCCGUCGCUCCUACCGAUUGAAUGGUCCGGUGAAGCGUUCGGACCGUGGCCUUUGGACGGUUCGCCGUCUGUUGGCUGCGGGAAGUUCGUUAAACCUUAUCAUUUAGAGGAAGGAGAAGUCGUAACA
RNAcentral lists this ribosomal RNA (325 nucleotides) under uncultured eukaryote. Its description in RNAcentral is "partial 18S ribosomal RNA". It matches the Rfam family "Eukaryotic small subunit ribosomal RNA", at positions 1470 to 1796 of the family's 1831-position model. The record is from RNAcentral.